UACGUAGGGUGCGAGCGUUAAUCGGAUUUACUGGGCGUAAAGCGCGCGUAGGCGGUUUGUCGCGUCUGCCGUGAAAGUCCGGGGCUCAACUCCGGAUCUGCGGUGGGUACGGGCAGACUAGAGUGAUGUAGGGGAGACUGGAAUUCCUGGUGUAGCGGUGAAAUGCGCAGAUAUCAGGAGGAACACCGAUGGCGAAGGCAGGUCUCUGGGCAUUAACUGACGCUGAGGAGCGAAAGCAUGGGGAGCGAACAGG
This 253-nucleotide ribosomal RNA is filed under the name uncultured microorganism. RNAcentral describes it as "partial 16S ribosomal RNA". It matches the Rfam family "Bacterial small subunit ribosomal RNA", at positions 524 to 776 of the family's 1533-position model. The record is from RNAcentral.